CCUACGGGCGGCAGCAGUGGGGAAUAUUGCACAAUGGGCGCAAGCCUGAUGCAGCCAUGCCGCGUGUGUGAAGAAGGCCUUCGGGUUGUAAAGCACUUUCAGCGGGGAGGAAGGCGGUGAGGUUAAUGACCUCAUCGAUUGACGUUACCCGCAGAAGAAGCACCGGCUAACUCCGUGCCAGCAGCCGCGGUAAUACGGAGGGUGCAAGCGUUAAUCGGAAUUACUGGGCGUAAAGCGCACGCAGGCGGUCUGUCAAGUCGGAUGUGAAAUCCCCGGGCUCAACCUGGGAACUGCAUUCGAAACUGGCAGGCUAGAGUCUUGUAGAGGGGGGUAGAAUUCCAGGUGUAGCGGUGAAAUGCGUAGAGAUCUGGAGGAAUACCGGUGGCGAAGGCGGCCCCCUGGACAAAGACUGACGCUCAGGUGCGAAAGCGUGGGGAGCAAACAGGAUUAGAUACCCGGGUAGUC
RNAcentral lists this ribosomal RNA (465 nucleotides) under uncultured Klebsiella sp. RNAcentral describes it as "bacterial SSU rRNA". It matches the Rfam family "Bacterial small subunit ribosomal RNA", at positions 338 to 795 of the family's 1533-position model. The record is from RNAcentral. Lineage: Bacteria; Pseudomonadati; Pseudomonadota; Gammaproteobacteria; Enterobacterales; Enterobacteriaceae.